Molecule: ribosomal RNA, 253 nt
Filed under: uncultured bacterium
Lineage: Bacteria
Description: partial 16S ribosomal RNA
Rfam family: Bacterial small subunit ribosomal RNA
Source: RNAcentral
UACAGAGGUCUCAAGCGUUGUUCGGAUUCAUUGGGCGUAAAGGGUGCGUAGGUGGCGGGGUAAGUCAGGUGUGAAAUUUCGGAGCUUAGCUCCGAAACUGCAUUUGAUACUGCCUUGCUUGAGGACUGGAGAGGAGACUGGAAUUCACGGUGUAGCAGUGAAAUGCGUAGAGAUCGUGAGGAAGACCAGUGGCGAAGGCGGGUCUCUGGACAGUUCCUGACACUGAGGCACGAAGGCCAGGGGAGCAAACGGG